GACGAACGCUGGCGGCGUGCUUAACACAUGCAAGUCGAACGGUGACGAGGAGCUUGCUCCUCCGAUCAGUGGCGAACGGGUGAGUAACACGUGAGUAACCUGCCCCAGACUCUGGGAUAACAGUUGGAAACAGCUGCUAAUACCGGAUACGAGACGGAGAGGCAUCUCCACCGUCUGGAAAGUUUUUCGGUCUGGGAUGGACUCGCGGCCUAUCAGCUUGUUGGUGAGGUAAUGGCUCACCAAGGCGACGACGGGUAGCCGGCCUGAGAGGGCGACCGGCCACGACUGGGACUGAGACACGGCCCAGACUCCUACGGGAGGCAGCAGUGGGGAAUAUUGCACAAUGGGCGAAAGCCUGAUGCAGCGACGCCGCGUGAGGGAUGACGGCCUUCGGGUUGUAACCGUACUUUCUAGCAGGGAAGAAGCGAAGUGACGGUACCUGCAGAAGAAGCACCGGCUAACUACGUGCCAGCAGCCGCGGUAAAUAGCGUAC
Molecule: ribosomal RNA, 493 nt
Filed under: uncultured bacterium
Lineage: Bacteria
Description: bacterial SSU rRNA
Rfam family: Bacterial small subunit ribosomal RNA
Source: RNAcentral